CCCUUAGAUGUUCUGGGCUGCACGCGCGCUACACUGAUGCAUCCAGCGAGUUGUAACCUUGCUUGGUAAAGUUUGGUAAUCUGAGCCUAAUGUGCAUCGUGAUGGGAAUAGAGUUUUGCAACUAUUAGUCUUGAACGAGGAAUUCCUCGUAAGCACGAGUCAUCAGCUUGUGCUGAUUACGUCCCUGCCCUUUGUACACACCGCCCGUCGCUCCUACCGAUUGGGUGCUCCGGUGAAUAAUUCGGACUGCAGCAGUGUUCAGUUCCUGAACGUUGCAGCGGAAAGUUUAGUGAACCUUAUCACUUAGAGGAAGGAGAAGUCGUAACA
RNAcentral lists this ribosomal RNA (327 nucleotides) under uncultured eukaryote. RNAcentral's name for it is "partial 18S ribosomal RNA". It matches the Rfam family "Eukaryotic small subunit ribosomal RNA", at positions 1470 to 1796 of the family's 1831-position model. The record is from RNAcentral.